Long non-coding RNA from Hyalella azteca, 812 nucleotides. RefSeq lists it as uncharacterized. The record is from RefSeq and is a predicted model, not a curated record. The transcript is spliced from 2 exons. Lineage: Eukaryota; Metazoa; Arthropoda; Malacostraca; Amphipoda; Hyalellidae.
UAGAGAUUAAGUUAGAUUAAGUAUUGAUUUCGAGAGAAAUUUUGAAGCAUUAGGGGCUCAACUUUUGACUGGCUUAUAUGAUACGGAGGUGACUUAAAUGGUGUUCUAGGCUACUGUAUUGCCCGCAGUGACCAGAGUGCAAUUUCACUUCCUAUCAUCUUUUUGAUUUAAUGCAUGCUAUGGGCCCUUUAUCAUGAUUAAUGCAUGCCACGUUACUAUUUGGUUUGACCCAACUUUAAGACGUCUCUGACGCAUUAAUUAAACUUGGCAGUAUUGCCGGCUUUCUAGCCUAUUAACUUUGCGCCCUGUGGGGCUUUAACCCUAUUAAUUUAGUCACGUUGGGUCUACCAAGUCAUUUAUUAACAUACUAACCAUUGCACUCAAUUACACUUGCAAACACCUAUGUACCUCUAAACGGCUUCCAAGCCACUUCUAAAUUUACCCCAGCGGUAAUAAAUUAGAAGUAUAACCUCCGGUAUAUCCUCAUACGUCGCAUCUCUUUGCCGUGUGAUUCAAGCCUCCAGUGCAGCCAGCGCGACAUUAUUUCUGCUGUACGCGUUAUUUCAUUUGAGGUUAGAUUGGGAAUAUGCGUUCACUGUCAAGUUUUGUACCGCUGAAUUGGAAUUUCUGAGCAUAAUUGAUCAAAUCGAUUCUCAAGCUUUGGCAUUCAUUAAGUAAGGUUUCUUUUUCUAAUUUCAGUUUCCUCAACUGCAUCCACUGCAGUUCCGGUUUUCUACUUCUCUGGAUCCGAAGCUUAUCCUUUGGAGUUUCAAUAAAAUUGUUAGCAGUUAUGUUUGUAUAAAUUCCUUACA